This 259-nucleotide long non-coding RNA is filed under the name Elaeis guineensis (African oil palm). RNAcentral's name for it is "long non-coding RNA (EGUI_LNC053248)". Lineage: Eukaryota; Viridiplantae; Streptophyta; Magnoliopsida; Arecales; Arecaceae. The record is from RNAcentral.
CGAAGGCCGCAGCACCCUUUCUUUUGUGGGCCCUGAGGCCCCUGACAAGCAUUCGCGCUGCUUCGGCAUCCAUUCCUCAAAAAAAAAAAAAUGGCAAAGAAAGAGCCCCUAAGUGGCGGGAAGAAAGAUGGAGGUUCUGGGACUAACCUAGAUCGCUCUGAGGGAUGUAGAGGGGCGAGGACAGGGAUGACUCGAAGGAUGCCUAUGGCCCAAGAAGACGCCAAGAGAAACAGGGCUCUCGAAGAAAGGGCAGAUACCG